This 1095-nucleotide unclassified non-coding RNA is filed under the name Hevea brasiliensis (rubber tree). Lineage: Eukaryota; Viridiplantae; Streptophyta; Magnoliopsida; Malpighiales; Euphorbiaceae. The record is from RNAcentral.
ACUACUUCGUCGCUCUCAAUCUCUCAAUCUCUCCGUCACUUACACUUCCCUCACUCCCAUCCAAACAGACCCUAACAAUGUCGAGCUCUCUCGACAUGUCUCUCGAUGACAUAAUCCACAGGUGCAGGGGAUAUCGAGGAGGAGAACGUAACAACAAUCAUUUUAGAGGUGGAGACAGAGGCGGAGCCUCCCGUUCUGGCUCCGCUCCUGGCCCUAAUCGCCGGUUUUUCCAGCGUGACCCGAUCAGGCACAGACCCUACCCAAUGCUGCCUCCAAUGGUAGUUCCGGAGCCGAUAAUGCUUCCUAGUGGAGAGGCUAAUGGGGAGUCAGGCACUAAGCUCUACAUAUCAGAGUUGGAUUAUGGUGUUUCUAAUGAUGAUAUUAAGUUGCUUUUCUCUGAUGUCGGUGAAUUGAAAAGGUACUCAAUCCAUUAUGAUAAAAGUGGAAGAUCAAAGGGGACAGCUGAAGUUGUCUUUUCACGCCAGACAGAUGCUCUAGCAGCUAUCGAGAGGUACAACAAUGUUCAGCUUGAUGGGAAGCCAAUGAAAAUUGAACUUGUUGGAGUUAAUUUAUUUGCUCCUCCUAUGCCUGUAACUGCAUCUAGUAACAUGGGAAAAUCGCAUGGUGCCUUUAGAAGUGAGUGGCCACAUGCAAUAACUCCACCUCAUGAGGUCGGCAGUACAUCUGAAUACAUCUCAUUGGUGGGAAAGGGGGAAAAGGGACUGAAUAACCAAGUGAUCAAGGAAGCUAUAGAGCUAGGGGAUGGGGACGUGGUGGUUUUCGUGGUCGAGGAUAUGCCAGGUUCCAAGGGCAAGAGAGACGCCAUGGUGAGGAGUUAACUGCAGACAAGCUUGAUGCUGAAUUGGAGAGAUACCAUCUUGAAGCCAUGCGAAUAAGUUGAUUUCAUAACUUAUUAUGGAUAUUUGCUUGCAUCAACAGUUUCUUGUUGGGCUCUUGUAAUUUUGGGGUAUUAUGAGUUAGAAUUUAGAUGGAUAAUGUCACUGGAAAGAUCAUGGUAGAACACAUGCAGGGCUUGGUCUUUUGAUGGUAGUUCCUCCAUUCGUUUAAAUACCCACUUUUUGUUUGGAUAAAGGC